UUCUGGCUCAGGAUGAACGCUGGCGGCGCGCCUAACACAUGGCAAGGUCGAACGGUGAAGUCCCGUCGGGGGCGGAUCAGUGGCGGACGGGGUGAGUAACGCGUGAGUAACCUGCCCUUACGAGCGGAAUAACGUCCGGAAACAGACGCUAAUACCGCAUAACACGUGCUUUCGGCAUCGGAGGCACGUCAAAGAUUUAUCGCGUAAGGAUGGACUCGCGUCCCAUUAGAUAGUUGGCGGGGCAACGGCCCACCAAGUCAGCGAUGGGUAGCCGGACUGAGAGGUUGAACGGCCACAUUGGAACUGAGAGACGGUCCAGACUCCUACGGGAGGCAGCAGUGGGGAAUAUUGGGCAAUGGGCGAAAGCCUGACCCAGCGACGCCGCGUGAGCGAAGAAGGUCUUCGGAUUGUAAAGCUCUGUUGACAGGGACGAAAAAAUGACGGUACCUGUCGAGGAAGCCACGGCUAACUACGUGCCAGCCGCUGC
This 487-nucleotide ribosomal RNA is filed under the name uncultured bacterium. RNAcentral's name for it is "bacterial SSU rRNA". It matches the Rfam family "Bacterial small subunit ribosomal RNA", at positions 17 to 518 of the family's 1533-position model. The record is from RNAcentral.